AGGGUCCACACAUUUCGGGUAUAUGGAGAGAAUUUAUCAGAAACAUGUUGUUACUAUCAGGAAAGUUGUAAUUAUUCUGUCAUAUCAACUAGUUCUGGUGAUGUUACAUGCUGUCUGGAGACGUAGAGACAGAAAUGCAGUUCUUUUCAUGUUGCAGGAAUAACUGAAAAGACGCCGACCGCGGGAGGAGGGUCCUGCUGCAGUCGCGGCUGGUACCGGGACCGGUUUCAGACAGACAGCGAGAACAGCUGAUCAAUAUGUGAGGUGGCAGUGAAAGCCAGCUGUGAGGAUGGUCGAUGAAACAACAAGAAGUGAAAUCCAGUUGCCUCUCUAGGAUUACAGUGACCUGGAUGUGUGACGAGCUGAAACAGAGGCUCAGUCUUAGCCAAGAGCUUGUUCACGCAUCAAGAUGUCAUACAUUAACUUCAACAUGCAAAGACUUACUUCUGGUCCAAUGUUCUGCUGUCAGUUCUGUUUUAGUAAAAAAAAAAAAAUAAAUAAAAAAUAAAAAAAAAAAGUGAAUAAAUG
This is a long non-coding RNA of Austrofundulus limnaeus, 528 nucleotides long. RefSeq lists it as uncharacterized. The transcript has 2 exons. The record is from RefSeq and is a predicted model, not a curated record. Lineage: Eukaryota; Metazoa; Chordata; Actinopteri; Cyprinodontiformes; Rivulidae.